Molecule: ribosomal RNA, 473 nt
Filed under: uncultured bacterium
Lineage: Bacteria
Description: bacterial SSU rRNA
Rfam family: Bacterial small subunit ribosomal RNA
Source: RNAcentral
ACUCCUACGGGAGGCAGCAGUAGGGAAUCUUCCACAAUGGACGAAAGUCUGAUGGAGCAACGCCGCGUGAGUGAAGAAGGGUUUCGGCUCGUAAAACUCUGUUGUUAAAGAAGAACAUAUCUGAGAGUAGCUGUUCAGGUAUUGACGGUAUUUAACCAGAAAGCCACGGCUAACUACGUGCCAGCAGCCGCGGUGAUACGUAGGUGGCAAGCGUUGUCCGGAUUUAUUGGGCGUAAAGCGAGCGCAGGCGGUUCUUUAAGUCUGAUGUGAAAGCCUUCGGCUCAACCGAAGAAGUGCAUCGGAAACUGGGAAACUUGAGUGCAGAAGAGGACAGUGGAACUCCAUGUGUAGCGGUGAAAUGCGUAGAUAUAUGGAAGAACACCAGUGGCGAAGGCGGCUGUCUGGUCUGUAACUGACGCUGAGGCUCGAAAGUAUGGGUAGCAAACAGGAUUAGAUACCCUGGUAGGAUAGCG